This 460-nucleotide ribosomal RNA is filed under the name uncultured bacterium. Its description in RNAcentral is "partial 16S ribosomal RNA". It matches the Rfam family "Bacterial small subunit ribosomal RNA", at positions 338 to 795 of the family's 1533-position model. The record is from RNAcentral.
CCUACGGGUGGCAGCAGUGAGGAAUAUUGGUCAAUGGCCGUAAGGCUGAACCAGCCAAGUCGCGUGAAGGAAGAAGGAUCUAUGGGUUGUAAACUUCUUUUAUAGGGGAAUAAAGGUCACCUCGUGUGGUUAUUUGCAUGUACCCUAUGAAUAAGCAUCGGCUAACUCCGUGCCAGCAGCCGCGGUAAUACGGAGGAUGCGAGCGUUAUCCGGAUUUAAUGGGUUUAAAGGGUGCGUAGGUUGUUGUUUAAGUCAGCGGUGAAAGUUUGUGGGACAACCCUAAAAUUGCCGUUGAAACUGGAAGACGUGAGUGUGUGUGAGGUAGGCGGAAUGCGUGGUGUAGCGGUGAAAUGCAUAGAUAUCACGCAGAACUCCGAUUGCGAAGGCAGCUUACUAGGCGAUAACUGACGCUGAGGCACGAAAGCGUGGGUAUCGAACAGGAUUAGAUACCCGAGUAGUC